AUUGAACGCUGGCGGCAGGCCUAACACAUGCAAGUCGAGCGGAUGAAGGGAGCUUGCUCCUGGAUUCAGCGGCGGACGGGUGAGUAAUGCCUAGGAAUCUGCCUGGUCGUGGGGGCUAACGUCCGGAAACGGGCGCUAAUACCGCAUACGUCCUGAGGGAGAAAGUGGGGGAUCUUCGGACCUCACGCUAUCAGAUGAGCCUAGGUCGGAUUAGCUAGUUGGUGGGGUAAAGGCCUACCAAGGCGACGAUCCGUAACUGGUCUGAGAGGAUGAUCAGUCACACUGGAACUGAGACACGGUCCAGACUCCUACGGGAGGCAGCAGUGGGGAAUAUUGGACAAUGGGCGAAAGCCUGAUCCAGCCAUGCCGCGUGUGUGAAGAAGGUCUUCGGAUUGUAAAGCACUUUAAGUUGGGAGGAAGGGCAGUAAGUUAAUACCUGGCUGUUUUGACGUUACCAACAGAAUAAGCACCGGCUAACUUCGUG
Molecule: ribosomal RNA, 484 nt
Filed under: uncultured bacterium
Lineage: Bacteria
Description: partial 16S ribosomal RNA
Rfam family: Bacterial small subunit ribosomal RNA
Source: RNAcentral